Molecule: ribosomal RNA, 676 nt
Filed under: Escherichia coli
Lineage: Bacteria; Pseudomonadati; Pseudomonadota; Gammaproteobacteria; Enterobacterales; Enterobacteriaceae
Description: partial 23S ribosomal RNA
Rfam family: Bacterial large subunit ribosomal RNA
Source: RNAcentral
UGUCUGGUGGGUAGUUUGACUGGGGCGGUCUCCUCCUAAAGAGUAACGGAGGAGCACGAAGGUUGGCUAAUCCUGGUCGGACAUCAGGAGGUUAGUGCAAUGGCAUAAGCCAGCUUGACUGCGAGCGUGACGGCGCGAGCAGGUGCGAAAGCAGGUCAUAGUGAUCCGGUGGUUCUGAAUGGAAGGGCCAUCGCUCAACGGAUAAAAGGUACUCCGGGGAUAACAGGCUGAUACCGCCCAAGAGUUCAUAUCGACGGCGGUGUUUGGCACCUCGAUGUCGGCUCAUCACAUCCUGGGGCUGAAGUAGGUCCCAAGGGUAUGGCUGUUCGCCAUUUAAAGUGGUACGCGAGCUGGGUUUAGAACGUCGUGAGACAGUUCGGUCCCUAUCUGCCGUGGGCGCUGGAGAACUGAGGGGGGCUGCUCCUAGUACGAGAGGACCGGAGUGGACGCAUCACUGGUGUUCGGGUUGUCAUGCCAAUGGCACUGCCCGGUAGCUAAAUGCGGAAGAGAUAAGUGCUGAAAGCAUCUAAGCACGAAACUUGCCCCGAGAUGAGUUCUCCCUGAGACUUAGAGUCUCCUGAAGGAACGUUGAAGACGACGACGUUGAUAGGCCGGGUGUGUAAGCGCAGCGAUGCGUUGAGCUAACCGGUACUAAUGAACCGUGAGGCUUAACCUU